Long non-coding RNA from Triticum aestivum (bread wheat), 860 nucleotides. RefSeq lists it as uncharacterized. The transcript is spliced from 3 exons. The record is from RefSeq and is a predicted model, not a curated record. Lineage: Eukaryota; Viridiplantae; Streptophyta; Magnoliopsida; Poales; Poaceae.
ACAGGACAGAUAGUAAUUAAGUGGGCAAAGCUGGAAAGGACAGGAAAGUGCGUGUCCAUUUGAAUGGCUUAUUCAGAACUUCAAGCCUUCUGGAACCAUGGUUUCCCUGCGGGCAUAACAUCUACUAGGAUGGUUCGUGGAAAGCAUGAAGAGCCAGAAGAGCAAGUGGUUGUUUGUAUACAACGUUGUCCUCUGCUACUUUAUACUUCAAUUACCAUAAGUGAGCUGUGUCGACGUUGGUUACUGGUUAGUUUAUUAGCAUGUCCAUCUCAGCUAAACUUAAAGAAAGGGCAGGUAGCUGGAUCAGAUCUGCUAUUGCCUUGUUGACCUGCUGUUUGGGCAUUUCUGCCUCUCAUUCUCUGGCAACACAACAUUGUUAGCUCCUACUAUCUGCCUUUUUGCAACCUUGCCUCAUCGCUCCGCUGGCUCGUAAAAUGCUGGUUCUGAAUUCUGCAUCUGUCAGGUGUUCAUCCGUUGUUAUAUUCACUGGCUGUUUCAACCUUUGAUCCACAAGCGCUUUCAAUUGACCCAAAACGGCUUUCAGUUGAUCCAAAAGCGCUUUCAAUUGCCCGUAUAUCAUUUACUCAGAUUUCUCAUCCAUCACCUCGUGCUUGUCGUUCUAUUUAUUGAGGCCAUUCCACACCAAAAAAAAGAGAGAGGGGAAAAUUGUCAGUUUUUGCUCCUAGUUUCUGAUAAUGUACUUGCUCAUGUCCAUACUUGGUGUUCAAUCAUCUACUGUCUUUAUGGACCGAGUCCAUUCUCUUAUUUUCCUCUAGAAACACACCUCCAACUUCUCUUUCAGCCUGUUUCUCAGAGUGUCUUUCUGCACCCAAAAUCUGUGCAUCCACAAAACAAACAGA